CGGGUGGAAGUAAAAGUCGUAACAAGGUCUCCGUAGGUGAACCUGCGGAGGGAUCAUUACCGAGUGAGGGAGCAAUCCCGAACCUCCAACCCUUUGUGAACCCAUCUCGUUGCUUCGGGGGCGACCCUGCCGUUCGCGCGGCAUUCCCCCCGGAGGGCAUCAAAACACUGCAUUCUUACGUCGGAGUAUAAAGUUAAUUGAAUAAGGCUUUCAACAACGGAUCUCUUGGUUCUGGCAUCGAUGAAGAACGCAGCGAAAUGCGAUAAGUAAUGUGAAUUGCAGAAUUCAGUGAAUCAUCGAAUCUUUGAACGCACAUUGCGCCCCCUGGUAUUCCGGGGGGCAUGCCUGUUCGAGCGUCAUUUCACCACUCUUGCCUCGCUUGGUAUUGCCCGCCGCGAGUCCCUCGCGCGCCUCAAAGUCUCCGGCUCGGCGGUUCGUCUCCCAGCGUUGUGGCAACUAUUUCGCAGUGGAGUUCGGGGCGUCGGGGCCGUUAAAUCUUUCAAAGGUUGACCUCGGAUCAGGUAGCCAUACCCGCUGAACUUAAGCAUAUCAAUAAGCGGAAA
This 563-nucleotide ribosomal RNA is filed under the name Ramularia carthami. RNAcentral describes it as "eukaryotic LSU rRNA". The stretch from base 206 to 359 matches the Rfam family "5.8S ribosomal RNA". Lineage: Eukaryota; Fungi; Ascomycota; Dothideomycetes; Mycosphaerellales; Mycosphaerellaceae. The record is from RNAcentral.